RNAcentral lists this ribosomal RNA (468 nucleotides) under uncultured bacterium. Its description in RNAcentral is "partial 16S ribosomal RNA". It matches the Rfam family "Bacterial small subunit ribosomal RNA", at positions 28 to 507 of the family's 1533-position model. The record is from RNAcentral.
GACGAACGCUGGCGGCGUGCCUAAUACAUGCAAGUCGAACGGAAAGGCCAUGCGUUUGUGGGGUGCUCGAGUGGCGAAGGGGUGAGUGAAACGCGUGUAACCCCCCCUUAUAUUAGGGGUAACUCUGGGAAACAGGGGCAAUAACCGCAUAGAAUAUCUUGCGCCGCAGGGGGGGGUGGAAGAUUUCGGCCGUGGGGGAUGUACUCGGGGGUUACCCGCUUGUUGGUGGGGUAGUGGCUGUCAAAGGCUUUGACGGGUAGCCGGCCUGAGAGGGUGACCGGCCACAUUGGGACUGAGAUACGGCCCAGACUCCUACGGGCGGCAGCAGUGGGGAAUAUUGCACAACGGGCGGAAGCCUGAUGCAGCAACGCCGCGUGCGGGAUGACGGCCUUCGGGUUGUAAACCGCUUUCGCCUGUGACGAAGCGUGAGUGACGGUAAUGGGUAAAGAAGCACCGGCUAACUACGUG